CUAAAGUGCAUCAUGCAGACCUCACGAGUUAAUGGAUUAACGAGUGGGGUCUUCGCAUUUCU
This 62-nucleotide unclassified non-coding RNA is filed under the name uncultured bacterium. RNAcentral's name for it is "srnC RNA". The record is from RNAcentral.